RNAcentral lists this ribosomal RNA (468 nucleotides) under uncultured bacterium. RNAcentral's name for it is "partial 16S ribosomal RNA". It matches the Rfam family "Bacterial small subunit ribosomal RNA", at positions 28 to 507 of the family's 1533-position model. The record is from RNAcentral.
GACGAACGCUGGCGGCGUGCUUAACACAUGCAAGUCGAACGGAACGUCCCUGCCUUUGUGGGGUGCUCGAGUGGCGACCGGGUGAGUUACCCGUGAGUAACCUGCCCUUGACUUUGGGAUAACUUCAGGAAACUGGGGCUAAUACCGGCUAGGAGCUCCCGCUGCAUGGUGGGGGUGGGAAAGUUUCGGUGGUUGGGGAUGGACUCGCGGCUUAUCAGCUUGUUGGUGGGGUAGUGGCUUACCAUGGCUUUGGCGGGUAGCCGGCCUGAGCGGGGCACCUGCCAAGUUAGGACUGGGAUACGGCACAGACUCGAACGGGAGGCAGCGGUGGGGAAUAUUGCACAAGGGGCGGAAGCAUAGUGCGACAACGCCGCGUGGGGGAUGGCGGCCUGGGGGUUGUAAACCGAUUUCGCCUUAGACGAGGCGAGAGUGACGGUAACGGGUAAAGAAGCACCGGCUAACUACGUG